Molecule: ribosomal RNA, 310 nt
Filed under: uncultured bacterium
Lineage: Bacteria
Description: partial 16S ribosomal RNA
Rfam family: Bacterial small subunit ribosomal RNA
Source: RNAcentral
AAGAGACAGCAGUCGCCACGGUAAUACAGAGGGUGCAAGCGUUAAUCGGAUUUACUGGGCGUAAAGGGCGCGUAGGUGGUUAUUUAAGUGAGAUGUGAAAGCCCCGGGCUUAACCUGGGAACUGCAUCUUAUACUGGGUAACUGGAGUGCAGUAGAGGGUAGUGGAAUUUCCGGUGUAGCGGUGAAAUGCGUAGAUAUCGGAAGGAACACCAGUGGCGAAGGCGGCUACCUGGACUGAGACUGACACUGAGGCGCGAGAGCGUGGGGAGCAAACAGGAUUAGAUACCCCCGUAGUCCCUGUCUCUUAUAC